UCCAGGGUAGCCUAGUGGACAUGGCAUCUGCCCAGUGGGUUCGAUUCCCAUCCCUGGAC
RNAcentral lists this transfer RNA (59 nucleotides) under Cordylochernes scorpioides. Its description in RNAcentral is "tRNA-OTHER". The record is from RNAcentral. Lineage: Eukaryota; Metazoa; Arthropoda; Arachnida; Pseudoscorpiones; Chernetidae.